AUUGAACGCUGGCGGCAGGCCUAACACAUGCAAGUCGAACGAGUGGCGGCCGGGUGAGUAAUGUCUGGGAAACUGCCUGAUGGAGGGGGAUAACUACUGGAAACGGUAGCUAAUACCGCAUACCAUCGGAUGUGCCCAGAUGGGAUUAGCUAGUAGGGGGGGUAAAGGCUCACCUAGGCGACGAUCCCUAGCUGGUCUGAGAGGAUGACCAGCCCAACUGGAACUGAGACCAGGUCCAGACUCCUACGGGAGGCAGCAUGGGGGAAUAUUGAACAAUGGGCGCAAGCCUGAUGCAGCCAUGCCGCGUGUAUGAAGAAGGCCUUCUGGUUGUAAAGUACUUUCAGCGGGGAGGCGUUACCCGCAGAAGAAGCACCGGCUAACUCCGUGCCAGCAGCCGCGGUAAUUC
RNAcentral lists this ribosomal RNA (406 nucleotides) under uncultured bacterium. RNAcentral's name for it is "partial 16S ribosomal RNA". It matches the Rfam family "Bacterial small subunit ribosomal RNA", at positions 30 to 526 of the family's 1533-position model. The record is from RNAcentral.